UCACUGCCCAAGGAGGAGCGGAAAACACGUGGCCUUAUUCUCUGUGAAGUGUUUGUGGAAUUUUGGUCACCAUAGCACCCAGUCACCAAAUACAGAAAGAUCUCUCCCAUGAUUCAUAACUGAGCCCACAGUGGCCACUGCUGUUUGUAGCCAACCUUCUGGCUCUGCCCGGUGUGUAAGAGCUGAAGGGAGCUUUGCUGGGCACCUACAGGCUGCUCCAUCCUCCCAGCAUGCUGCAAACAGAUUACUACUACACCCAGCAACUCUUUAUGAGCUUCUUCUGGGCAGGUGAAAAUAGCAGAUAAGAGAUGUUAUGGAGGAUAAAGAAGAAACAUCUCUCAGACAGUCCACUGUAGCAUAUAGUCUCUCCUUCAGACUGGGAAAAGAUGAAGAGGAGCAUAGCCAGCACUCUGAGAUAUCCUGGAAGAAAGGACUGCUCUGCAGUAAGUUACAACUUUAUGACUGUGUAAAAAUGAAAAAACAACUCAAACAAUUAUUGUUAUAGCUGACACUUAUGUAUGAGUGGACAGAAACAAUUUGACACCUGUAAAAUCCCUUGCCAACCUCGUUUAAGCUCACCCUGUGAAAGAAAUGGAUGCUAGUCACUUUUAUUGCUUGCAGUGCAGAGACCCAGUAUUUUAGAGCCUGUUCAAUGUUGGGUCAGACCCACAGAUGAUGUAAAACAACCUCCCGUAGUUACUCCGACAUACCUGUGGUCACAGAGGGCUCUCUGCAAUCAUUGCUCAACUGGUGCUGCCCCAGGGAGCUCUUACACCAGGUACAACCUCUGUGAGCUGCAGGCACGGCAGUCUCCUGCCUCCAGUACUGCAGCUUCCCACCCUGUGUCCCCGAG
Molecule: long non-coding RNA, 853 nt
Filed under: Cyanistes caeruleus (blue tit)
Lineage: Eukaryota; Metazoa; Chordata; Aves; Passeriformes; Paridae
Description: lncRNA (ENSCCEG00000008423.1)
Source: RNAcentral